Molecule: long non-coding RNA, 568 nt
Organism: Carassius carassius (crucian carp)
Lineage: Eukaryota; Metazoa; Chordata; Actinopteri; Cypriniformes; Cyprinidae
Exons: 3
Source: RefSeq, a predicted model, not a curated record
UCUCAGGGCAUUUCAACGUGCGCGCACGCACAGCGAGUGACGUCCGCGUUAGUGAGGUGAUUUAUUGCUUGUGUGGUUUAUAAAGUCUUUUUACAUACAAGUUAUAAUUUAAAAUGUUGUUUUUUUUCCUGUCAGAAAAGCUCAUGGAUACAUUUGUGAGAGAAAAACUCGUCGAGUGUAGUCUUAUUGAGGCGUAUAACGGUUGGAACGAACAUGGAAUUCCUAAACCGAGCAGAGUCCACAAAACCCCAUCCAAUUGUCAUGCCGAUUUAAAAAUGCCAGCAGAUCUCUCAGGCAUUGAUCAUAAUCAAUGGACUGGUCACCGUAGCCACCCGUAUCCAGUACGUAUCCAGACCAGAUGGUGGAUCAGCACCUAGAAAGGACCUCUACAGCCACGAAAGACAGCGGAGACCAGGAAAACUAGAGCCCCAGAUACAGAUCCCCUGUAAAGACCUUGUCUCAGACGACCACCAGGACAAGACCACAGGAAACAGAUGAUUCUUCUGCACAAUCUGACUUUGCUGCAGCCUGAAAUUGAACUGCUGGUUUCGUCUGGUCAGAGGAGAAC